RNAcentral lists this ribosomal RNA (496 nucleotides) under uncultured bacterium. RNAcentral's name for it is "partial 16S ribosomal RNA". It matches the Rfam family "Bacterial small subunit ribosomal RNA", at positions 28 to 507 of the family's 1533-position model. The record is from RNAcentral.
GAUGAACGCUGGCGGCGUGCCUAAUACAUGCAAGUCGAGCGAACAGACGAGGAGCUUGCUCCUCUGACGUUAGCGGCGGACGGGUGAGUAACACGUGGAUAACCUACCUAUAGACUGGGAUAACUUCGGGAAACCGGAGCUAAUACCGGAUAAUAUAUUGAACCGCAUGGUUCAAUAGUGAAAGACGGUUUUGCUGUCACUUAUAGAUGGAUCCGCGCCGCAUUAGCUAGUUGGUAAGGUAACGGCUUACCAAGGCAACGAUGCGUAGCCGACCUGAGAGGGUGAUCCGCCACACUGGAACUGAGACACGGUCCAGACUCCUACGGGAGGCAGCAGUAGGGAAUCUUCCGCAAUGGGCGAAAGCCUGACGGAGCAACGCCGCGUGAGUGCUGAAGGUCUUCGGAUCGUAAAACUCUGUUAUUAGGGAAGAACAAAUGUGUAAGUAACUAUGCACGUCUUGACGGUACCUAAUCAGAAAGCCACGGCUAACUACGUG